This 488-nucleotide long non-coding RNA is filed under the name Coffea arabica (coffee). RNAcentral describes it as "long non-coding RNA (CARA_LNC008395)". The record is from RNAcentral. Lineage: Eukaryota; Viridiplantae; Streptophyta; Magnoliopsida; Gentianales; Rubiaceae.
CAGAGUACUGAACCGAGACUGGAUCGAGUUCAUUUACGCUUUGCCUUCAUUUCGAAUUCGAGUUGUUCGAUCAAUAGGAGCAGGUAAGCGCUAGUCUUUUGGAUGCGGGAUUUAUUAGUAUCUACCACAUCUUUUUCCAAAACAUUAGCUUGAUUUGGCUUUGCCAUGAACUCUUUUGGCAAAGUCAAAACCAUCUUGCAGUCCACCUUCUGUGGUAGUCCGAAAAACUGGCUUUUGUGCUUCUAUUUACCAUACUCUGCUUUGAUCUUGAUUGCAAGACUGACUCUCCUUCGAGUCUUCCUCCAUAGGAUCAUCCUCCAACAAGGCAAAGUACUCGAAGAACUCAUCAGAAACAUCUGCUGAUGAGCUUUCUCGGGCUUCUUGUGGUCACUCUUCCCAUUCUUCUCCUCGGCAGGGUACACAACACUUAGGUUUUUUCCUCUUAUCAGUCUCGGCUUGAAGCUUCCUCUUUACAGAAGCCCUUUUCC